AGUGAACGCUGGCGGUAGGCCUAACACAUGCAAGUCGAACGGCAGCACAGUAAGAGCUUGCUCUUACGGGUGGCGAGUGGCGGACGGGUGAGGAAUACAUCGGAAUCUACCUUUUCGUGGGGGAUAACGUAGGGAAACUUACGCUAAUACCGCAUACGACCUACGGGUGAAAGCAGGGGAUCUUCGGACCUUGCGCGAUUGAAUGAGCCGAUGUCGGAUUAGCUAGUUGGCGGGGUAAAGGCCCACCAAGGCGACGAUCCGUAGCUGGUCUGAGAGGAUGAUCAGCCACGCUGGAACUGAGACACGGUCCAGACUCCUAUGGGAGGCAGCAGUGGGGAAUAUUGGACAAUGGGCGCAAGCCUGAUCCAGCCAUACCGCGUGGGUGAAGAAGGCCUUCGGGUUGUAAAGCCCUUUUGUUGGGAAAGAAAAGCAGCAGGUUAAUACCCCGCUGUUCUGACGGUACCCAAAGAAUAAGCACCGGCUAACUUCGUG
This 492-nucleotide ribosomal RNA is filed under the name uncultured bacterium. Its description in RNAcentral is "partial 16S ribosomal RNA". It matches the Rfam family "Bacterial small subunit ribosomal RNA", at positions 29 to 507 of the family's 1533-position model. The record is from RNAcentral.